UUUGUCCUGCCGUGUGCGUGAUAGAGCAUUAUUUGGACCUACAACAUUAACGAGGGAGCCAUCGCUCCGGAUGCAGGGAAUGCAGACCUCCCGUCCCUCGGGACGGACGCUGGGAGCACAAAACGUCCGGGCCGGCACCCACCUUGCACAGGCAGGGUCAUAAUGUUUGCUCUACACGGCACGGCGGGUUUUUA
Molecule: non-coding RNA, 194 nt
Filed under: Clostridia bacterium
Lineage: Bacteria; Bacillati; Bacillota; Clostridia
Description: 6S RNA
Rfam family: 6S / SsrS RNA
About the family: E. coli 6S RNA was the first non coding RNA to be sequenced, but its function was unknown until recently. It consists of 184 nucleotides that fold into an extended hairpin structure with a large single-stranded internal bulge.
Source: RNAcentral